RNAcentral lists this long non-coding RNA (32339 nucleotides) under Cucumis sativus (cucumber). RNAcentral describes it as "long non-coding RNA (CSAT_LNC001527)". The record is from RNAcentral. Lineage: Eukaryota; Viridiplantae; Streptophyta; Magnoliopsida; Cucurbitales; Cucurbitaceae.
GUCCUCUCUUCGUAGGCUAAUGCAUUGGCCCUUUUUGACCCGUUUUGGGGCGAAAACAAAAACUGACUCCCGGGCAUAUUUUUUUCGGCCUUUAUGGGCAGAGAACUUUAAUACCGCUCGAAAUGAGGCCACCCAGUAGUUAGGUGUGAAUUUUCGAGACCUUUGGCACCGUUCUAAGAUGGGUCCUCUCUUCGUAGGCUAAUGCAUUGGCCCUUUUUGACCCGUUUUGGGGCGAAAACAAAAACUGACUCCCGGGCAUAUUUUUUUCGGCCUUUAUGGGCAGAGAACUUUAAUACCGCUCAAAAUGAGGCCACCCAGUAGUUAGGUGUGAAUUUUCGAGACCUUUGGCACCGUUCUAAGAUGGGUCCUCUCUUCGUAGGCUAAUGCAUUGGCCCUUUUUGACCCGUUUUGGGGCGAAAACAAAAACUGACUCCCGGGCAUAUUUUUUUCGGCCUUUAUGGGCAGAGAACUUUAAUGCCGCUCGGAAUGAGGCCACCCAGUAGUUAGGUGUGAAUUUUCGAGACCUUUGGCACCGUUCUAAGAUGGGUCCUCUCUUCGUAGGCUAAUGCAUUGGCCCUUUUUGACCCGUUUUGGGGCGAAAACAAAAACUGACUCCCGGGCAUAUUUUUUUUCGGCCUUUAUGGGCAGAGAACUUUAAUGCCGCUCGGAAUGAGGCCACCCAGUAGUUAGGUGUGAAUUUUCGAGACCUUUGGCACCGUUCUAAGAUGGGUCCUCUCUUCGUAGGCUAAUGCAUUGGCCCUUUUUGACCCGUUUUGGGGCGAAAACAAAAACUGACUCCCGGGCAUAUUUUUUUCGGCCUUUAUGGGCAGAGAACUUUAAUGCCGCUCAGAAUGAGGCCACCCAGUAGUUAGGUGUGAAUUUUCGAGACCUUUGGCACCGUUCUAAGAUGGGUCCUCUCUUCGUAGGCUAAUGCAUUGGCCCUUUUUGACCCGUUUUGGGGCGAAAACAAAAACUGACUCCCGGGCAUAUUUUUUUUCGGCCUUUAUGGGCAGAGAACUUUAAUGCCGCUCAGAAUGAGGCCACCCAGUAGUUAGGUGUGAAUUUUCGAGACCUUUGGCACCGUUCUAAGAUGGGUCCUCUCUUCGUAGGCUAAUGCAUUGGCCCUUUUUGACCCGUUUUGGGGCGAAAACAAAAACUGACUCCCGGGCAUAUUUUUUUCGGCCUUUAUGGGCAGAGAACUUUAAUGCCGCUCGGAAUGAGGCCACCCAGUAGUUAGGUGUGAAUUUUCGAGACCUUUGGCACCGUUCUAAGAUGGGUCCUCUCUUCGUAGGCUAAUGCAUUGGCCCUUUUUGACCCGUUUUGGGGCGAAAACAAAAACUGACUCCCGGGCAUAUUUUUUUCGGCCUUUAUGGGCAGAGAACUUUAAUGCCGCUCGGAAUGAGGCCACCCAGUAGUUAGGUGUGAAUUUUCGAGACCUUUGGCACCGUUCUAAGAUGGGUCCUCUCUUCGUAGGCUAAUGCAUUGGCCCUUUUUUGACCCGUUUUGGGGCGAAAACAAAAACUGACUCCCGGGCAUAUUUUUUUCGGCCUUUAUGGGCAGAGAACUUUAAUGCCGCUCAGAAUGAGGCCACCCAGUAGUUAGGUGUGAAUUUUCGAGACCUUUGGCACCGUUCUAAGAUGGGUCCUCUCUUCGUAGGCUAAUGCAUUGGCCCUUUUUGACCCGUUUUGGGGCGAAAACAAAAACUGACUCCCGGGCAUAUUUUUUUCGGCCUUUAUGGGCAGAGAACUUUAAUGCCGCUCAGAAUGAGGCCACCCAGUAGUUAGGUGUGAAUUUUCGAGACCUUUGGCACCGUUCUAAGAUGGGUCCUCUCUUCGUAGGCUAAUGCAUUGGCCCUUUUUGACCCGUUUUGGGGCGAAAACAAAAACUGACUCCCGGGCAUAUUUUUUUCGGCCUUUAUGGGCAGAGAACUUUAAUGCCGCUCAGAAUGAGGCCACCCAGUAGUUAGGUGUGAAUUUUCGAGACCUUUGGCACCGUUCUAAGAUGGGUCCUCUCUUCGUAGGCUAAUGCAUUGGCCCUUUUUGACCCGUUUUGGGGCGAAAACAAAAACUGACUCCCGGGCAUAUUUUUUUCGGCCUUUAUGGGCAGAGAACUUUAAUGCCGCUCAGAAUGAGGCCACCCAGUAGUUAGGUGUGAAUUUUCGAGACCUUUGGCACCGUUCUAAGAUGGGUCCUCUCUUCGUAGGCUAAUGCAUUGGCCCUUUUUGACCCGUUUUGGGGCGAAAACAAAAACUGACUCCCGGGCAUAUUUUUUUUCGGCCUUUAUGGGCAGAGAACUUUAAUGCCGCUCAGAAUGAGGCCACCCAGUAGUUAGGUGUGAAUUUUCGAGACCUUUGGCACCGUUCUAAGAUGGGUCCUCUCUUCGUAGGCUAAUGCAUUGGCCCUUUUUGACCCGUUUUGGGGCGAAAACAAAAACUGACUCCCGGGCAUAUUUUUUUCGGCCUUUAUGGGCAGAGAACUUUAAUGCCGCUCAGAAUGAGGCCACCCAGUAGUUAGGUGUGAAUUUUCGAGACCUCUGGCACCGUUCUAAGAUGGGUCCUCUCUUCGUAGGCUAAUGCAUUGGCCCUUUUUGACCCGUUUUGGGGCGAAAACAAAAACUGACUCCCGGGCAUAUUUUUUUCGGCCUUUAUGGGCAGAGAACUUUAAUGCCGCUCAGAAUGAGGCCACCCAGUAGUUAGGUGUGAAUUUUCGAGACCUCUGGCACCGUUCUAAGAUGGGUCCUCUCUUCGUAGGCUAAUGCAUUGGCCCUUUUUGACCCGUUUUGGGGCGAAAACAAAAACUGACUCCCGGGCAUAUUUUUUUCGGCCUUUAUGGGCAGAGAACUUUAAUGCCGCUCAGAAUGAGGCCACCCAGUAGUUAGGUGUGAAUUUUCGAGACCUCUGGCACCGUUCUAAGAUGGGUCCUCUCUUCGUAGGCUAAUGCAUUGGCCCUUUUUGACCCGUUUUGGGGCGAAAACAAAAACUGACUCCCGGGCAUAUUUUUUUCGGCCUUUAUGGGCAGAGAACUUUAAUGCCGCUCAGAAUGAGGCCACCCAGUAGUUAGGUGUGAAUUUUCGAGACCUCUGGCACCGUUCUAAGAUGGGUCCUCUCUUCGUAGGCUAAUGCAUUGGCCCUUUUUGACCCGUUUUGGGGCGAAAACAAAAACUGACUCCCGGGCAUAUUUUUUUCGGCCUUUAUGGGCAGAGAACUUUAAUGCCGCUCAGAAUGAGGCCACCCAGUAGUUAGGUGUGAAUUUUCGAGACCUCUGGCACCGUUCUAAGAUGGGUCCUCUCUUCGUAGGCUAAUGCAUUGGCCCUUUUUGACCCGUUUUGGGGCGAAAACAAAAACUGACUCCCGGGCAUAUUUUUUUCGGCCUUUAUGGGCAGAGAACUUUAAUGCCGCUCAGAAUGAGGCCACCCAGUAGUUAGGUGUGAAUUUUCGAGACCUCUGGCACCGUUCUAAGAUGGGUCCUCUCUUCGUAGGCUAAUGCAUUGGCCCUUUUUGACCCGUUUUGGGGCGAAAACAAAAACUGACUCCCGGGCAUAUUUUUUUCGGCCUUUAUGGGCAGAGAACUUUAAUGCCGCUCAGAAUGAGGCCACCCAGUAGUUAGGUGUGAAUUUUCGAGACCUCUGGCACCGUUCUAAGAUGGGUCCUCUCUUCGUAGGCUAAUGCAUUGGCCCUUUUUGACCCGUUUUGGGGCGAAAACAAAAACUGACUCCCGGGCAUAUUUUUUUCGGCCUUUAUGGGCAGAGAACUUUAAUGCCGCUCAGAAUGAGGCCACCCAGUAGUUAGGUGUGAAUUUUCGAGACCUCUGGCACCGUUCUAAGAUGGGUCCUCUCUUCGUAGGCUAAUGCAUUGGCCCUUUUUGACCCGUUUUGGGGCGAAAACAAAAACUGACUCCCGGGCAUAUUUUUUUCGGCCUUUAUGGGCAGAGAACUUUAAUGCCGCUCAGAAUGAGGCCACCCAGUAGUUAGGUGUGAAUUUUCGAGACCUCUGGCACCGUUCUAAGAUGGGUCCUCUCUUCGUAGGCUAAUGCAUUGGCCCUUUUUGACCCGUUUUGGGGCGAAAACAAAAACUGACUCCCGGGCAUAUUUUUUUCGGCCUUUUAUGGGCAGAGAACUUUAAUGCCGCUCAGAAUGAGGCCACCCAGUAGUUAGGUGUGAAUUUUCGAGACCUCUGGCACCGUUCUAAGAUGGGUCCUCUCUUCGUAGGCUAAUGCAUUGGCCCUUUUUGACCCGUUUUGGGGCGAAAACAAAAACUGACUCCCGGGCAUAUUUUUUUCGGCCUUUAUGGGCAGAGAACUUUAAUGCCGCUCAGAAUGAGGCCACCCAGUAGUUAGGUGUGAAUUUUCGAGACCUCUGGCACCGUUCUAAGAUGGGUCCUCUCUUCGUAGGCUAAUGCAUUGGCCCUUUUUGACCCGUUUUGGGGCGAAAACAAAAACUGACUCCCGGGCAUAUUUUUUUCGGCCUUUAUGGGCAGAGAACUUUAAUGCCGCUCAGAAUGAGGCCACCCAGUAGUUAGGUGUGAAUUUUCGAGACCUCUGGCACCGUUCUAAGAUGGGUCCUCUCUUCGUAGGCUAAUGCAUUGGCCCUUUUUGACCCGUUUUGGGGCGAAAACAAAAACUGACUCCCGGGCAUAUUUUUUUCGGCCUUUAUGGGCAGAGAACUUUAAUGCCGCUCAGAAUGAGGCCACCCAGUAGUUAGGUGUGAAUUUUCGAGACCUCUGGCACCGUUCUAAGAUGGGUCCUCUCUUCGUAGGCUAAUGCAUUGGCCCUUUUUGACCCGUUUUGGGGCGAAAACAAAAACUGACUCCCGGGCAUAUUUUUUUCGGCCUUUAUGGGCAGAGAACUUUAAUGCCGCUCAGAAUGAGGCCACCCAGUAGUUAGGUGUGAAUUUUCGAGACCUCUGGCACCGUUCUAAGAUGGGUCCUCUCUUCGUAGGCUAAUGCAUUGGCCCUUUUUGACCCGUUUUGGGGCGAAAAAAAAAAACUGACUCCCGGGCAUAUUUUUUUCGGCCUUUAUGGGCAGAGAACUUUAAUGCCGCUCAGAAUGAGGCCACCCAGUAGUUAGGUGUGAAUUUUCGAGACCUCUGGCACCGUUCUAAGAUGGGUCCUCUCUUCGUAGGCUAAUGCAUUGGCCCUUUUUGACCCGUUUUGGGGCGAAAACAAAAACUGACUCCCGGGCAUAUUUUUUUCGGCCUUUAUGGGCAGAGAACUUUAAUGCCGCUCAGAAUGAGGCCACCCAGUAGUUAGGUGUGAAUUUUCGAGACCUCUGGCACCGUUCUAAGAUGGGUCCUCUCUUCGUAGGCUAAUGCAUUGGCCCUUUUUGACCCGUUUUGGGGCGAAAACAAAAACUGACUCCCGGGCAUAUUUUUUUCGGCCUUUAUGGGCAGAGAACUUUAAUGCCGCUCAGAAUGAGGCCACCCAGUAGUUAGGUGUGAAUUUUCGAGACCUCUGGCACCGUUCUAAGAUGGGUCCUCUCUUCGUAGGCUAAUGCAUUGGCCCUUUUUGACCCGUUUUGGGGCGAAAACAAAAACUGACUCCCGGGCAUAUUUUUUUCGGCCUUUAUGGGCAGAGAACUUUAAUGCCGCUCAGAAUGAGGCCACCCAGUAGUUAGGUGUGAAUUUUCGAGACCUCUGGCACCGUUCUAAGAUGGGUCCUCUCUUCGUAGGCUAAUGCAUUGGCCCUUUUUGACCCGUUUUGGGGCGAAAACAAAAACUGACUCCCGGGCAUAUUUUUUUCGGCCUUUAUGGGCAGAGAACUUUAAUGCCGCUCAGAAUGAGGCCACCCAGUAGUUAGGUGUGAAUUUUCGAGACCUCUGGCACCGUUCUAAGAUGGGUCCUCUCUUCGUAGGCUAAUGCAUUGGCCCUUUUUGACCCGUUUUGGGGCGAAAACAAAAACUGACUCCCGGGCAUAUUUUUUUCGGCCUUUAUGGGCAGAGAACUUUAAUGCCGCUCAGAAUGAGGCCACCCAGUAGUUAGGUGUGAAUUUUCGAGACCUCUGGCACCGUUCUAAGAUGGGUCCUCUCUUCGUAGGCUAAUGCAUUGGCCCUUUUUGACCCGUUUUGGGGCGAAAACAAAAACUGACUCCCGGGCAUAUUUUUUUCGGCCUUUAUGGGCAGAGAACUUUAAUACCGCUCAGAAUGAGGCCACCCAGUAGUUAGGUGUGAAUUUUCGAGACCUCUGGCACCGUUCUAAGAUGGGUCCUCUCUUCGUAGGCUAAUGCAUUGGCCCUUUUUGACCCGUUUUGGGGCGAAAACAAAAACUGACUCCCGGGCAUAUUUUUUUCGGCCUUUAUGGGCAGAGAACUUUAAUGCCGCUCAGAAUGAGGCCACCCAGUAGUUAGGUGUGAAUUUUCGAGACCUCUGGCACCGUUCUAAGAUGGGUCCUCUCUUCGUAGGCUAAUGCAUUGGCCCUUUUUGACCCGUUUUGGGGCGAAAACAAAAACUGACUCCCGGGCAUAUUUUUUUCGGCCUUUAUGGGCAGAGAACUUUAAUACCGCUCAGAAUGAGGCCACCCAGUAGUUAGGUGUGAAUUUUCGAGACCUCUGGCACCGUUCUAAGAUGGGUCCUCUCUUCGUAGGCUAAUGCAUUGGCCCUUUUUGACCCGUUUUGGGGCGAAAACAAAAACUGACUCCCGGGCAUAUUUUUUUCGGCCUUUAUGGGCAGAGAACUUUAAUACCGCUCAGAAUGAGGCCACCCAGUAGUUAGGUGUGAAUUUUCGAGACCUCUGGCACCGUUCUAAGAUGGGUCCUCUCUUCGUAGGCUAAUGCAUUGGCCCUUUUUGACCCGUUUUGGGGCGAAAACAAAAACUGACUCCCGGGCAUAUUUUUUUCGGCCUUUAUGGGCAGAGAACUUUAAUACCGCUCAGAAUGAGGCCACCCAGUAGUUAGGUGUGAAUUUUCGAGACCUCUGGCACCGUUCUAAGAUGGGUCCUCUCUUCGUAGGCUAAUGCAUUGGCCCUUUUUGACCCGUUUUGGGGCGAAAACAAAAACUGACUCCCGGGCAUAUUUUUUUCGGCCUUUAUGGGCAGAGAACUUUAAUACCGCUCAGAAUGAGGCCACCCAGUAGUUAGGUGUGAAUUUUCGAGACCUCUGGCACCGUUCUAAGAUGGGUCCUCUCUUCGUAGGCUAAUGCAUUGGCCCUUUUUGACCCGUUUUGGGGCGAAAACAAAAACUGACUCCCGGGCAUAUUUUUUUCGGCCUUUAUGGGCAGAGAACUUUAAUGCCGCUCAGAAUGAGGCCACCCAGUAGUUAGGUGUGAAUUUUCGAGACCUCUGGCACCGUUCUAAGAUGGGUCCUCUCUUCGUAGGCUAAUGCAUUGGCCCUUUUUGACCCGUUUUGGGGCGAAAACAAAAACUGACUCCCGGGCAUAUUUUUUUCGGCCUUUAUGGGCAGAGAACUUUAAUACCGCUCAGAAUGAGGCCACCCAGUAGUUAGGUGUGAAUUUUCGAGACCUCUGGCACCGUUCUAAGAUGGGUCCUCUCUUCGUAGGCUAAUGCAUUGGCCCUUUUUGACCCGUUUUGGGGCGAAAACAAAAACUGACUCCCGGGCAUAUUUUUUUCGGCCUUUAUGGGCAGAGAACUUUAAUGCCGCUCAGAAUGAGGCCACCCAGUAGUUAGGUGUGAAUUUUCGAGACCUCUGGCACCGUUCUAAGAUGGGUCCUCUCUUCGUAGGCUAAUGCAUUGGCCCUUUUUGACCCGUUUUGGGGCGAAAACAAAAACUGACUCCCGGGCAUAUUUUUUUCGGCCUUUAUGGGCAGAGAACUUUAAUGCCGCUCAGAAUGAGGCCACCCAGUAGUUAGGUGUGAAUUUUCGAGACCUCUGGCACCGUUCUAAGAUGGGUCCUCUCUUCGUAGGCUAAUGCAUUGGCCCUUUUUGACCCGUUUUGGGGCGAAAACAAAAACUGACUCCCGGGCAUAUUUUUUUCGGCCUUUAUGGGCAGAGAACUUUAAUACCGCUCAGAAUGAGGCCACCCAGUAGUUAGGUGUGAAUUUUCGAGACCUCUGGCACCGUUCUAAGAUGGGUCCUCUCUUCGUAGGCUAAUGCAUUGGCCCUUUUUGACCCGUUUUGGGGCGAAAACAAAAACUGACUCCCGGGCAUAUUUUUUUCGGCCUUUAUGGGCAGAGAACUUUAAUGCCGCUCAGAAUGAGGCCACCCAGUAGUUAGGUGUGAAUUUUCGAGACCUCUGGCACCGUUCUAAGAUGGGUCCUCUCUUCGUAGGCUAAUGCAUUGGCCCUUUUUGACCCGUUUUGGGGCGAAAACAAAAACUGACUCCCGGGCAUAUUUUUUUCGGCCUUUAUGGGCAGAGAACUUUAAUGCCGCUCAGAAUGAGGCCACCCAGUAGUUAGGUGUGAAUUUUCGAGACCUCUGGCACCGUUCUAAGAUGGGUCCUCUCUUCGUAGGCUAAUGCAUUGGCCCUUUUUGACCCGUUUUGGGGCGAAAACAAAAACUGACUCCCGGGCAUAUUUUUUUCGGCCUUUAUGGGCAGAGAACUUUAAUGCCGCUCAGAAUGAGGCCACCCAGUAGUUAGGUGUGAAUUUUCGAGACCUCUGGCACCGUUCUAAGAUGGGUCCUCUCUUCGUAGGCUAAUGCAUUGGCCCUUUUUGACCCGUUUUGGGGCGAAAACAAAAACUGACUCCCGGGCAUAUUUUUUUCGGCCUUUAUGGGCAGAGAACUUUAAUGCCGCUCAGAAUGAGGCCACCCAGUAGUUAGGUGUGAAUUUUCGAGACCUCUGGCACCGUUCUAAGAUGGGUCCUCUCUUCGUAGGCUAAUGCAUUGGCCCUUUUUGACCCGUUUUGGGGCGAAAACAAAAACUGACUCCCGGGCAUAUUUUUUUCGGCCUUUAUGGGCAGAGAACUUUAAUGCCGCUCAGAAUGAGGCCACCCAGUAGUUAGGUGUGAAUUUUCGAGACCUCUGGCACCGUUCUAAGAUGGGUCCUCUCUUCGUAGGCUAAUGCAUUGGCCCUUUUUGACCCGUUUUGGGGCGAAAACAAAAACUGACUCCCGGGCAUAUUUUUUUCGGCCUUUAUGGGCAGAGAACUUUAAUGCCGCUCAGAAUGAGGCCACCCAGUAGUUAGGUGUGAAUUUUCGAGACCUCUGGCACCGUUCUAAGAUGGGUCCUCUCUUCGUAGGCUAAUGCAUUGGCCCUUUUUGACCCGUUUUGGGGCGAAAACAAAAACUGACUCCCGGGCAUAUUUUUUUCGGCCUUUAUGGGCAGAGAACUUUAAUGCCGCUCAGAAUGAGGCCACCCAGUAGUUAGGUGUGAAUUUUCGAGACCUCUGGCACCGUUCUAAGAUGGGUCCUCUCUUCGUAGGCUAAUGCAUUGGCCCUUUUUGACCCGUUUUGGGGCGAAAACAAAAACUGACUCCCGGGCAUAUUUUUUUCGGCCUUUAUGGGCAGAGAACUUUAAUGCCGCUCAGAAUGAGGCCACCCAGUAGUUAGGUGUGAAUUUUCGAGACCUCUGGCACCGUUCUAAGAUGGGUCCUCUCUUCGUAGGCUAAUGCAUUGGCCCUUUUUGACCCGUUUUGGGGCGAAAACAAAAACUGACUCCCGGGCAUAUUUUUUUCGGCCUUUAUGGGCAGAGAACUUUAAUGCCGCUCAGAAUGAGGCCACCCAGUAGUUAGGUGUGAAUUUUCGAGACCUCUGGCACCGUUCUAAGAUGGGUCCUCUCUUCGUAGGCUAAUGCAUUGGCCCUUUUUGACCCGUUUUGGGGCGAAAACAAAAACUGACUCCCGGGCAUAUUUUUUUCGGCCUUUAUGGGCAGAGAACUUUAAUGCCGCUCAGAAUGAGGCCACCCAGUAGUUAGGUGUGAAUUUUCGAGACCUCUGGCACCGUUCUAAGAUGGGUCCUCUCUUCGUAGGCUAAUGCAUUGGCCCUUUUUGACCCGUUUUGGGGCGAAAACAAAAACUGACUCCCGGGCAUAUUUUUUUCGGCCUUUAUGGGCAGAGAACUUUAAUGCCGCUCAGAAUGAGGCCACCCAGUAGUUAGGUGUGAAUUUUCGAGACCUCUGGCACCGUUCUAAGAUGGGUCCUCUCUUCGUAGGCUAAUGCAUUGGCCCUUUUUGACCCGUUUUGGGGCGAAAACAAAAACUGACUCCCGGGCAUAUUUUUUUCGGCCUUUAUGGGCAGAGAACUUUAAUACCGCUCAGAAUGAGGCCACCCAGUAGUUAGGUGUGAAUUUUCGAGACCUCUGGCACCGUUCUAAGAUGGGUCCUCUCUUCGUAGGCUAAUGCAUUGGCCCUUUUUGACCCGUUUUGGGGCGAAAACAAAAACUGACUCCCGGGCAUAUUUUUUUCGGCCUUUAUGGGCAGAGAACUUUAAUGCCGCUCAGAAUGAGGCCACCCAGUAGUUAGGUGUGAAUUUUCGAGACCUCUGGCACCGUUCUAAGAUGGGUCCUCUCUUCGUAGGCUAAUGCAUUGGCCCUUUUUGACCCGUUUUGGGGCGAAAACAAAAACUGACUCCCGGGCAUAUUUUUUUCGGCCUUUAUGGGCAGAGAACUUUAAUACCGCUCAGAAUGAGGCCACCCAGUAGUUAGGUGUGAAUUUUCGAGACCUCUGGCACCGUUCUAAGAUGGGUCCUCUCUUCGUAGGCUAAUGCAUUGGCCCUUUUUGACCCGUUUUGGGGCGAAAACAAAAACUGACUCCCGGGCAUAUUUUUUUCGGCCUUUAUGGGCAGAGAACUUUAAUGCCGCUCAGAAUGAGGCCACCCAGUAGUUAGGUGUGAAUUUUCGAGACCUCUGGCACCGUUCUAAGAUGGGUCCUCUCUUCGUAGGCUAAUGCAUUGGCCCUUUUUGACCCGUUUUGGGGCGAAAACAAAAACUGACUCCCGGGCAUAUUUUUUUCGGCCUUUAUGGGCAGAGAACUUUAAUGCCGCUCAGAAUGAGGCCACCCAGUAGUUAGGUGUGAAUUUUCGAGACCUCUGGCACCGUUCUAAGAUGGGUCCUCUCUUCGUAGGGCUAAUGCAUUGGCCCUUUUUGACCCGUUUUGGGGCGAAAACAAAAACUGACUCCCGGGCAUAUUUUUUUCGGCCUUUAUGGGCAGAGAACUUUAAUACCGCUCAGAAUGAGGCCACCCAGUAGUUAGGUGUGAAUUUUCGAGACCUCUGGCACCGUUCUAAGAUGGGUCCUCUCUUCGUAGGCUAAUGCAUUGGCCCUUUUUGACCCGUUUUGGGGCGAAAACAAAAACUGACUCCCGGGCAUAUUUUUUUCGGCCUUUAUGGGCAGAGAACUUUAAUGCCGCUCAGAAUGAGGCCACCCAGUAGUUAGGUGUGAAUUUUCGAGACCUCUGGCACCGUUCUAAGAUGGGUCCUCUCUUCGUAGGCUAAUGCAUUGGCCCUUUUUGACCCGUUUUGGGGCGAAAACCAAAAACUGACUCCCGGGCAUAUUUUUUUCGGCCUUUAUGGGCAGAGAACUUUAAUACCGCUCAGAAUGAGGCCACCACCCAGUAGUUAGGUGUGAAUUUUCGAGACCUCUGGCACCGUUCUAAGAUGGGUCCUCUCUUCGUAGGCUAAUGCAUUGGCCCUUUUUGACCCGUUUUGGGGCGAAAACAAAAACUGACUCCCGGGCAUAUUUUUUUCGGCCUUUAUGGGCAGAGAAACUUUAAUGCCGCUCAGAAUGAGGCCACCCAGUAGUUAGGUGUGAAUUUUCGAGACCUCUGGCACCGUUCUAAGAUGGGUCCUCUCUUCGUAGGCUAAUGCAUUGGCCCUUUUUGACCCGUUUUGGGGCGAAAACAAAAACUGACUCCCGGGCAUAUUUUUUUCGGCCUUUAUGGGCAGAGAACUUUAAUACCGCUCAGAAUGAGGCCACCCAGUAGUUAGGUGUGAAUUUUCGAGACCUCUGGCACCGUUCUAAGAUGGGUCCUCUCUUCGUAGGCUAAUGCAUUGGCCCUUUUUGACCCGUUUUGGGGCGAAAACAAAAACUGACUCCCGGGCAUAUUUUUUUCGGCCUUUAUGGGCAAAGAACUUUAAUGCCGCUCAGAAUGAGGCCACCCAGUAGUUAGGUGUGAAUUUUCGAGACCUCUGGCACCGUUCUAAGAUGGGUCCUCUCUUCGUAGGCUAAUGCAUUGGCCCUUUUUGACCCGUUUUGGGGCGAAAAACAAAAACUGACUCCCGGGCAUAUUUUUUUCGGCCUUUAUGGGCAAAGAACUUUAAUGCCGCUCAGAAUGAGGCCACCCAGUAGUUAGGUGUGAAUUUUCGAGACCUCUGGCACCGUUCUAAGAUGGGUCCUCUCUUCGUAGGCUAAUGCAUUGGCCCUUUUUGACCCGUUUUGGGGCGAAAACAAAAAACUGACUCCCGGGCAUAUUUUUUUCGGCCUUUAUGGGCAGAGAACUUUAAUGCCGCUCAGAAUGAGGCCACCCAGUAGUUAGGUGUGAAUUUUCGAGACCUCUGGCACCGUUCUAAGAUGGGUCCUCUCUUCGUAGGCUAAUGCAUUGGCCCUUUUUGACCCGUUUUGGGGCGAAAACAAAAACUGACUCCCGGGCAUAUUUUUUUCGGCCUUUAUGGGCAGAGAACUUUAAUACCGCUCAGAAUGAGGCCACCCAGUAGUUAGGUGUGAAUUUUCGAGACCUCUGGCACCGUUCUAAGAUGGGUCCUCUCUUCGUAGGCUAAUGCAUUGGCCCUUUUUGACCCGUUUUGGGGCGAAAACAAAAACUGACUCCCGGGCAUAUUUUUUUCGGCCUUUAUGGGCAGAGAACUUUAAUACCGCUCAGAAUGAGGCCACCCAGUAGUUAGGUGUGAAUUUUCGAGACCCUCUGGCACCGUUCUAAGAUGGGUCCUCUCUUCGUAGGCUAAUGCAUUGGCCCUUUUUGACCCGUUUUGGGGCGAAAACAAAAACUGACUCCCGGGCAUAUUUUUUUCGGCCUUUAUGGGCAGAGAACUUUAAUACCGCUCAGAAUGAGGCCACCCAGUAGUUAGGUGUGAAUUUUCGAGACCUCUUGGCACCGUUCUAAGAUGGGUCCUCUCUUCGUAGGCUAAUGCAUUGGCCCUUUUUGACCCGUUUUGGGGCGAAAACAAAAACUGACUCCCGGGCAUAUUUUUUUCGGCCUUUAUGGGCAGAGAACUUUAAUGCCGCUCAGAAUGAGGCCACCCAGUAGUUAGGUGUGAAUUUUCGAGACCUCUGGCACCGUUCUAAGAUGGGUCCUCUCUUCGUAGGCUAAUGCAUUGGCCCUUUUUGACCCGUUUUGGGGCGAAAACAAAAACUGACUCCCGGGCAUAUUUUUUUCGGCCUUUAUGGGCAGAGAACUUUAAUACCGCUCAAAAAUGAGGCCACCCAGUAGUUAGGUGUGAAUUUUCGAGACCUCUGGCACCGUUCUAAGAUGGGUCCUCUCUUCGUAGGCUAAUGCAUUGGCCCUUUUUGACCCGUUUUGGGGCGAAAACAAAAACUGACUCCCGGGCAUAUUUUUUUCGGCCUUUAUGGGCAGAGAACUUUAAUACCGCUCAGAAUGAGGCCACCCAGUAGUUAGGUGUGAAUUUUCGAGACCUUUGGCACCGUUCUAAGAUGGGUCCUCUCUUCGUAGGCUAAUGCAUUGGCCCUUUUUGACCCGUUUUGGGGCGAAAACAAAAACUGACUCCCGGGCAUAUUUUUUUCGGCCUUUAUGGGCAGAGAACUUUAAUGCCGCUCAGAAUGAGGCCACCCAGUAGUUAGGUGUGAAUUUUCGAGACCUCUGGCACCGUUCUAAGAUGGGUCCUCUCUUCGUAGGCUAAUGCAUUGGCCCUUUUUGACCCGUUUUGGGGCGAAAACAAAAACUGACUCCCGGGCAUAUUUUUUUCGGCCUUUAUGGGCAGAGAACUUUAAUGCCGCUCAGAAUGAGGCCACCCAGUAGUUAGGUGUGAAUUUUCGAGACCUCUGGCACCGUUCUAAGAUGGGUCCUCUCUUCGUAGGCUAAUGCAUUGGCCCUUUUUGACCCGUUUUGGGGCGAAAACAAAAACUGACUCCCGGGCAUAUUUUUUUCGGCCUUUAUGGGCAGAGAACUUUAAUACCGCUCAGAAUGAGGCCACCCAGUAGUUAGGUGUGAAUUUUCGAGACCUCUGGCACCGUUCUAAGAUGGGUCCUCUCUUCGUAGGCUAAUGCAUUGGCCCUUUUUGACCCGUUUUGGGGCGAAAACAAAAACUGACUCCCGGGCAUAUUUUUUUCGGCCUUUAUGGGCAGAGAACUUUAAUACCGCUCAGAAUGAGGCCACCCAGUAGUUAGGUGUGAAUUUUCGAGACCUCUGGCACCGUUCUAAGAUGGGUCCUCUCUUCGUAGGCUAAUGCAUUGGCCCUUUUUGACCCGUUUUGGGGCGAAAACAAAAACUGACUCCCGGGCAUAUUUUUUUCGGCCUUUAUGGGCAGAGAACUUUAAUACCGCUCAGAAUGAGGCCACCCAGUAGUUAGGUGUGAAUUUUCGAGACCUUCUGGCACCGUUCUAAGAUGGGUCCUCUCUUCGUAGGCUAAUGCAUUGGCCCUUUUUGACCCGUUUUGGGGCGAAAACAAAAACUGACUCCCGGGCAUAUUUUUUUCGGCCUUUAUGGGCAGAGAACUUUAAUGCCGCUCAGAAUGAGGCCACCCAGUAGUUAGGUGUGAAUUUUCGAGACCUCUGGCACCGUUCUAAGAUGGGUCCUCUCUUCGUAGGCUAAUGCAUUGGCCCUUUUUGACCCGUUUUGGGGCGAAAACAAAAACUGACUCCCGGGCAUAUUUUUUUCGGCCUUUAUGGGCAGAGAACUUUAAUACCGCUCAGAAUGAGGCCACCCAGUAGUUAGGUGUGAAUUUUCGAGACCUCUGGCACCGUUCUAAGAUGGGUCCUCUCUUCGUAGGCUAAUGCAUUGGCCCUUUUUGACCCGUUUUGGGGCGAAAACAAAAACUGACUCCCGGGCAUAUUUUUUUCGGCCUUUAUGGGCAGAGAACUUUAAUACCGCUCAGAAUGAGGCCACCCAGUAGUUAGGUGUGAAUUUUCGAGACCUCUGGCACCGUUCUAAGAUGGGUCCUCUCUUCGUAGGCUAAUGCAUUGGCCCUUUUUGACCCGUUUUGGGGCGAAAACAAAAACUGACUCCCGGGCAUAUUUUUUUCGGCCUUUAUGGGCAGAGAACUUUAAUGCCGCUCAGAAUGAGGCCACCCAGUAGUUAGGUGUGAAUUUUCGAGACCUCUGGCACCGUUCUAAGAUGGGUCCUCUCUUCGUAGGCUAAUGCAUUGGCCCUUUUUGACCCGUUUUGGGGCGAAAACAAAAACUGACUCCCGGGCAUAUUUUUUUCGGCCUUUAUGGGCAGAGAACUUUAAUACCGCUCAGAAAUGAGGCCACCCAGUAGUUAGGUGUGAAUUUUCGAGACCUCUGGCACCGUUCUAAGAUGGGUCCUCUCUUCGUAGGCUAAUGCAUUGGCCCUUUUUGACCCGUUUUGGGGCGAAAACAAAAACUGACUCCCGGGCAUAUUUUUUUCGGCCUUUAUGGGCAGAGAACUUUAAUACCGCUCAGAAUGAGGCCACCCAGUAGUUAGGUGUGAAUUUUCGAGACCUCUCGGCACCGUUCUAAGAUGGGUCCUCUCUUCGUAGGCUAAUGCAUUGGCCCUUUUUGACCCGUUUUGGGGCGAAAACAAAAACUGACUCCCGGGCAUAUUUUUUUCGGCCUUUAUGGGCAGAGAACUUUAAUGCCGCUCAGAAAUGAGGCCACCCAGUAGUUAGGUGUGAAUUUUCGAGACCUCUGGCACCGUUCUAAGAUGGGUCCUCUCUUCGUAGGCUAAUGCAUUGGCCCUUUUUGACCCGUUUUGGGGCGAAAACAAAAACUGACUCCCGGGCAUAUUUUUUUCGGCCUUUAUGGGCAGAGAACUUUAAUACCGCUCAGAAUGAGGCCACCCAGUAGUUAGGUGUGAAUUUUCGAGACCUCUGGCACCGUUCUAAGAUGGGUCCUCUCUUCGUAGGCUAAUGCAUUGGCCCUUUUUGACCCGUUUUGGGGCGAAAACAAAAACUGACUCCCGGGCAUAUUUUUUUCGGCCUUUAUGGGCAGAGAACUUUAAUACCGCUCAGAAUGAGGCCACCCAGUAGUUAGGUGUGAAUUUUCGAGACCUCUUGGCACCGUUCUAAGAUGGGUCCUCUCUUCGUAGGCUAAUGCAUUGGCCCUUUUUGACCCGUUUUGGGGCGAAAACAAAAACUGACUCCCGGGCAUAUUUUUUUCGGCCUUUAUGGGCAGAGAACUUUAAUGCCGCUCAGAAUGAGGCCACCCAGUAGUUAGGUGUGAAUUUUCGAGACCUCUGGCACCGUUCUAAGAUGGGUCCUCUCUUCGUAGGCUAAUGCAUUGGCCCUUUUUGACCCGUUUUGGGGCGAAAACAAAAACUGACUCCCGGGCAUAUUUUUUUCGGCCUUUAUGGGCAGAGAACUUUAAUGCCGCUCAGAAUGAGGCCACCCAGUAGUUAGGUGUGAAUUUUCGAGACCUUUGGCACCGUUCUAAGAUGGGUCCUCUCUUCGUAGGCUAAUGCAUUGGCCCUUUUUGACCCGUUUUGGGGCGAAAACAAAAACUGACUCCCGGGCAUAUUUUUUUCGGCCUUUAUGGGCAGAGAACUUUAAUACCGCUCAGAAUGAGGCCACCCAGUAGUUAGGUGUGAAUUUUCGAGACCUCUGGCACCGUUCUAAGAUGGGUCCUCUCUUCGUAGGCUAAUGCAUUGGCCCUUUUUGACCCGUUUUGGGGCGAAAACAAAAACUGACUCCCGGGCAUAUUUUUUUCGGCCUUUAUGGGCAGAGAACUUUAAUGCCGCUCAGAAUGAGGCCACCCAGUAGUUAGGUGUGAAUUUUCGAGACCUCUGGCACCGUUCUAAGAUGGGUCCUCUCUUCGUAGGCUAAUGCAUUGGCCCUUUUUGACCCGUUUUGGGGCGAAAACAAAAACUGACUCCCGGGCAUAUUUUUUUCGGCCUUUAUGGGCAGAGAACUUUAAUACCGCUCAGAAUGAGGCCACCCAGUAGUUAGGUGUGAAUUUUCGAGACCUCUGGCACCGUUCUAAGAUGGGUCCUCUCUUCGUAGGCUAAUGCAUUGGCCCUUUUUGACCCGUUUUGGGGCGAAAACAAAAACUGACUCCCGGGCAUAUUUUUUUCGGCCUUUAUGGGCAGAGAACUCUUAAUAGCCGCUCAGAAAUGGCCAGGCCACCCAGUAGUUAGGUGUGAAUUUUCGAGACCUCUGGCACCGUUCUAAGAUGGGUCCUCUCUUCGUAGGCUAAUGCAUUGGCCCUUUUUGACCCGUUUUGGGGCGAAAACAAAAACUGACUCCCGGGCAUAUUUUUUUCGGCCUUUAUGGGCAGAGAACUUUAAUGCCGCUCAGAAUGAGGCCACCCAGUAGUUAGGUGUGAAUUUUCGAGACCUCUGGCACCGUUCUAAGAUGGGUCCUCUCUUCGUAGGCUAAUGCAUUGGCCCUUUUUGACCCGUUUUGGGGCGAAAACAAAAACUGACUCCCGGGCAUAUUUUUUUCGGCCUUUAUGGGCAGAGAACUUUAAUGCCGCUCAGAAUGAGGCCACCCAGUAGUUAGGUGUGAAUUUUCGAGACCUUUGGCACCGUUCUAAGAUGGGUCCUCUCUUCGUAGGCUAAUGCAUUGGCCCUUUUUGACCCGUUUUGGGGCGAAAACAAAAACUGACUCCCGGGCAUAUUUUUUUCGGCCUUUAUGGGCAGAGAACUUUAAUGCCGCUCAGAAUGAGGCCACCCAGUAGUUAGGUGUGAAUUUUCGAGACCUCUGGCACCGUUCUAAGAUGGGUCCUCUCUUCGUAGGCUAAUGCAUUGGCCCUUUUUGACCCGUUUUGGGGCGAAAACAAAAACUGACUCCCGGGCAUAUUUUUUUCGGCCUUUAUGGGCAGAGAACUUUAAUACCGCUCAGAAUGAGGCCACCCAGUAGUUAGGUGUGAAUUUUCGAGACCUUUGGCACCGUUCUAAGAUGGGUCCUCUCUUCGUAGGCUAAUGCAUUGGCCCUUUUUGACCCGUUUUGGGGCGAAAACAAAAACUGACUCCCGGGCAUAUUUUUUUCGGCCUUUAUGGGCAGAGAACUUUAAUACCGCUCAGAAUGAGGCCACCCAGUAGUUAGGUGUGAAUUUUCGAGACCUCUGGCACCGUUCUAAGAUGGGUCCUCUCUUCGUAGGCUAAUGCAUUGGCCCUUUUUGACCCGUUUUGGGGCGAAAACAAAAACUGACUCCCGGGCAUAUUUUUUUCGGCCUUUAUGGGCAGAGAACUUUAAUGCCGCUCAGAAUGAGGCCACCCAGUAGUUAGGUGUGAAUUUUCGAGACCUUUGGCCACCGUUCUAAGAUGGGUCCUCUCUUCGUAGGCUAAUGCAUUGGCCCUUUUUGACCCGUUUUGGGGCGAAAACAAAAACUGACUCCCGGGCAUAUUUUUUUCGGCCUUUAUGGGCAGAGAACUUUAAUACCGCUCAGAAUGAGGCCACCCAGUAGUUAGGUGUGAAUUUUCGAGACCUUUGGCACCGUUCUAAGAUGGGUCCUCUCUUCGUAGGCUAAUGCAUUGGCCCUUUUUGACCCGUUUUGGGGCGAAAACAAAAACUGACUCCCGGGCAUAUUUUUUUCGGCCUUUAUGGGCAGAGAACUUUAAUACCGCUCAGAAUGAGGCCACCCAGUAGUUAGGUGUGAAUUUUCGAGACCUUCUGGCACCGUUCUAAGAUGGGUCCUCUCUUCGUAGGCUAAUGCAUUGGCCCUUUUUGACCCGUUUUGGGGCGAAAACAAAAACUGACUCCCGGGCAUAUUUUUUUCGGCCUUUAUGGGCAGAGAACUUUAAUGCCGCUCAGAAUGAGGCCACCCAGUAGUUAGGUGUGAAUUUUCGAGACCUCUGGCACCGUUCUAAGAUGGGUCCUCUCUUCGUAGGCUAAUGCAUUGGCCCUUUUUGACCCGUUUUGGGGCGAAAACAAAAACUGACUCCCGGGCAUAUUUUUUUCGGCCUUUAUGGGCAGAGAACUUUAAUACCGCUCAGAAUGAGGCCACCCAGUAGUUAGGUGUGAAUUUUCGAGACCUUUGGCACCGUUCUAAGAUGGGUCCUCUCUUCGUAGGCUAAUGCAUUGGCCCUUUUUGACCCGUUUUGGGGCGAAAACAAAAACUGACUCCCGGGCAUAUUUUUUUCGGCCUUUAUGGGCAGAGAACUUUAAUGCCGCUCAGAAUGAGGCCACCCAGUAGUUAGGUGUGAAUUUUCGAGACCUUUGGCACCGUUCUAAGAUGGGUCCUCUCUUCGUAGGCUAAUGCAUUGGCCCUUUUUGACCCGUUUUGGGGCGAAAACAAAAACUGACUCCCGGGCAUAUUUUUUUCGGCCUUUAUGGGCAGAGAACUUUAAUACCGCUCAAAAUGAGGCCACCCAGUAGUUAGGUGUGAAUUUUCGAGACCUCUGGCACCGUUCUAAGAUGGGUCCUCUCUUCGUAGGCUAAUGCAUUGGCCCUUUUUGACCCGUUUUGGGGCGAAAACAAAAACUGACUCCCGGGCAUAUUUUUUUCGGCCUUUAUGGGCAGAGAACUUUAAUACCGCUCAAAAUGAGGCCACCCAGUAGUUAGGUGUGAAUUUUCGAGACCUUUGGCACCGUUCUAAGAUGGGUCCUCUCUUCGUAGGCUAAUGCAUUGGCCCUUUUUGACCCGUUUUGGGGCGAAAACAAAAACUGACUCCCGGGCAUAUUUUUUUCGGCCUUUAUGGGCAGAGAACUUUAAUGCCGCUCAGAAUGAGGCCACCCAGUAGUUAGGUGUGAAUUUUCGAGACCUUUGGCACCGUUCUAAGAUGGGUCCUCUCUUCGUAGGCUAAUGCAUUGGCCCUUUUUGACCCGUUUUGGGGCGAAAACAAAAACUGACUCCCGGGCAUAUUUUUUUCGGCCUUUAUGGGCAGAGAACUUUAAUACCGCUCAAAAUGAGGCCACCCAGUAGUUAGGUGUGAAUUUUCGAGACCUUUGGCACCGUUCUAAGAUGGGUCCUCUCUUCGUAGGCUAAUGCAUUGGCCCUUUUUGACCCGUUUUGGGGCGAAAACAAAAACUGACUCCCGGGCAUAUUUUUUUCGGCCUUUAUGGGCAGAGAACUUUAAUACCGCUCAAAAUGAGGCCACCCAGUAGUUAGGUGUGAAUUUUCGAGACCUUUGGCACCGUUCUAAGAUGGGUCCUCUCUUCGUAGGCUAAUGCAUUGGCCCUUUUUGACCCGUUUUGGGGCGAAAACAAAAACUGACUCCCGGGCAUAUUUUUUUCGGCCUUUAUGGGCAGAGAACUUUAAUACCGCUCAAAAUGAGGCCACCCAGUAGUUAGGUGUGAAUUUUCGAGACCUCUGGCACCGUUCUAAGAUGGGUCCUCUCUUCGUAGGCUAAUGCAUUGGCCCUUUUUGACCCGUUUUGGGGCGAAAACAAAAACUGACUCCCGGGCAUAUUUUUUUCGGCCUUUAUGGGCAGAGAACUUUAAUGCCGCUCAAAAUGAGGCCACCCAGUAGUUAGGUGUGAAUUUUCGAGACCUCUGGCACCGUUCUAAGAUGGGUCCUCUCUUCGUAGGCUAAUGCAUUGGCCCUUUUUGACCCGUUUUGGGGCGAAAACAAAAACUGACUCCCGGGCAUAUUUUUUUCGGCCUUUAUGGGCAGAGAACUUUAAUACCGCUCAGAAUGAGGCCACCCAGUAGUUAGGUGUGAAUUUUCGAGACCUUUGGCACCGUUCUAAGAUGGGUCCUCUCUUCGUAGGCUAAUGCAUUGGCCCUUUUUGACCCGUUUUGGGGCGAAAACAAAAACUGACUCCCGGGCAUAUUUUUUUCGGCCUUUAUGGGCAGAGAACUUUAAUACCGCUCAAAAUGAGGCCACCCAGUAGUUAGGUGUGAAUUUUCGAGACCUUUGGCACCGUUCUAAGAUGGGUCCUCUCUUCGUAGGCUAAUGCAUUGGCCCUUUUUGACCCGUUUUGGGGCGAAAACAAAAACUGACUCCCGGGCAUAUUUUUUUCGGCCUUUAUGGGCAGAGAACUUUAAUACCGCUCAAAAUGAGGCCACCCAGUAGUUAGGUGUGAAUUUUCGAGACCUUUGGCACCGUUCUAAGAUGGGUCCUCUCUUCGUAGGCUAAUGCAUUGGCCCUUUUUGACCCGUUUUGGGGCGAAAACAAAAACUGACUCCCGGGCAUAUUUUUUUCGGCCUUUAUGGGCAGAGAACUUUAAUACCGCUCAAAAUGAGGCCACCCAGUAGUUAGGUGUGAAUUUUCGAGACCUUUGGCACCGUUCUAAGAUGGGUCCUCUCUUCGUAGGCUAAUGCAUUGGCCCUUUUUGACCCGUUUUGGGGCGAAAACAAAAACUGACUCCCGGGCAUAUUUUUUUCGGCCUUUAUGGGCAGAGAACUUUAAUACCGCUCAAAAUGAGGCCACCCAGUAGUUAGGUGUGAAUUUUCGAGACCUUUGGCACCGUUCUAAGAUGGGUCCUCUCUUCGUAGGCUAAUGCAUUGGCCCUUUUUGACCCGUUUUGGGGCGAAAACAAAAACUGACUCCCGGGCAUAUUUUUUUCGGCCUUUAUGGGCAGAGAACUUUAAUACCGCUCAAAAUGAGGCCACCCAGUAGUUAGGUGUGAAUUUUCGAGACCUUUGGCACCGUUCUAAGAUGGGUCCUCUCUUCGUAGGCUAAUGCAUUGGCCCUUUUUGACCCGUUUUGGGGCGAAAACAAAAACUGACUCCCGGGCAUAUUUUUUUCGGCCUUUAUGGGCAGAGAACUUUAAUACCGCUCAAAAUGAGGCCACCCAGUAGUUAGGUGUGAAUUUUCGAGACCUUUGGCACCGUUCUAAGAUGGGUCCUCUCUUCGUAGGCUAAUGCAUUGGCCCUUUUUGACCCGUUUUGGGGCGAAAACAAAAACUGACUCCCGGGCAUAUUUUUUUCGGCCUUUAUGGGCAGAGAACUUUAAUACCGCUCAAAAUGAGGCCACCCAGUAGUUAGGUGUGAAUUUUCGAGACCUUUGGCACCGUUCUAAGAUGGGUCCUCUCUUCGUAGGCUAAUGCAUUGGCCCUUUUUGACCCGUUUUGGGGCGAAAACAAAAACUGACUCCCGGGCAUAUUUUUUUCGGCCUUUAUGGGCAGAGAACUUUAAUACCGCUCAAAAUGAGGCCACCCAGUAGUUAGGUGUGAAUUUUCGAGACCUUUGGCACCGUUCUAAGAUGGGUCCUCUCUUCGUAGGCUAAUGCAUUGGCCCUUUUUGACCCGUUUUGGGGCGAAAACAAAAACUGACUCCCGGGCAUAUUUUUUUCGGCCUUUAUGGGCAGAGAACUUUAAUACCGCUCAAAAUGAGGCCACCCAGUAGUUAGGUGUGAAUUUUCGAGACCUUUGGCACCGUUCUAAGAUGGGUCCUCUCUUCGUAGGCUAAUGCAUUGGCCCUUUUUGACCCGUUUUGGGGCGAAAACAAAAACUGACUCCCGGGCAUAUUUUUUUCGGCCUUUAUGGGCAGAGAACUUUAAUACCGCUCAAAAUGAGGCCACCCAGUAGUUAGGUGUGAAUUUUCGAGACCUUUGGCACCGUUCUAAGAUGGGUCCUCUCUUCGUAGGCUAAUGCAUUGGCCCUUUUUGACCCGUUUUGGGGCGAAAACAAAAACUGACUCCCGGGCAUAUUUUUUUCGGCCUUUAUGGGCAGAGAACUUUAAUACCGCUCAAAAUGAGGCCACCCAGUAGUUAGGUGUGAAUUUUCGAGACCUUUGGCACCGUUCUAAGAUGGGUCCUCUCUUCGUAGGCUAAUGCAUUGGCCCUUUUUGACCCGUUUUGGGGCGAAAACAAAAACUGACUCCCGGGCAUAUUUUUUUCGGCCUUUAUGGGCAGAGAACUUUAAUACCGCUCAAAAUGAGGCCACCCAGUAGUUAGGUGUGAAUUUUCGAGACCUUUGGCACCGUUCUAAGAUGGGUCCUCUCUUCGUAGGCUAAUGCAUUGGCCCUUUUUGACCCGUUUUGGGGCGAAAACAAAAACUGACUCCCGGGCAUAUUUUUUUCGGCCUUUAUGGGCAGAGAACUUUAAUACCGCUCAAAAUGAGGCCACCCAGUAGUUAGGUGUGAAUUUUCGAGACCUUUGGCACCGUUCUAAGAUGGGUCCUCUCUUCGUAGGCUAAUGCAUUGGCCCUUUUUGACCCGUUUUGGGGCGAAAACAAAAACUGACUCCCGGGCAUAUUUUUUUCGGCCUUUAUGGGCAGAGAACUUUAAUACCGCUCAAAAUGAGGCCACCCAGUAGUUAGGUGUGAAUUUUCGAGACCUUUGGCACCGUUCUAAGAUGGGUCCUCUCUUCGUAGGCUAAUGCAUUGGCCCUUUUUGACCCGUUUUGGGGCGAAAACAAAAACUGACUCCCGGGCAUAUUUUUUUCGGCCUUUAUGGGCAGAGAACUUUAAUACCGCUCAAAAUGAGGCCACCCAGUAGUUAGGUGUGAAUUUUCGAGACCUUUGGCACCGUUCUAAGAUGGGUCCUCUCUUCGUAGGCUAAUGCAUUGGCCCUUUUUGACCCGUUUUGGGGCGAAAACAAAAACUGACUCCCGGGCAUAUUUUUUUCGGCCUUUAUGGGCAGAGAACUUUAAUACCGCUCAAAAUGAGGCCACCCAGUAGUUAGGUGUGAAUUUUCGAGACCUUUGGCACCGUUCUAAGAUGGGUCCUCUCUUCGUAGGCUAAUGCAUUGGCCCUUUUUGACCCGUUUUGGGGCGAAAACAAAAACUGACUCCCGGGCAUAUUUUUUUCGGCCUUUAUGGGCAGAGAACUUUAAUACCGCUCAAAAUGAGGCCACCCAGUAGUUAGGUGUGAAUUUUCGAGACCUUUGGCACCGUUCUAAGAUGGGUCCUCUCUUCGUAGGCUAAUGCAUUGGCCCUUUUUGACCCGUUUUGGGGCGAAAACAAAAACUGACUCCCGGGCAUAUUUUUUUCGGCCUUUAUGGGCAGAGAACUUUAAUACCGCUCAAAAUGAGGCCACCCAGUAGUUAGGUGUGAAUUUUCGAGACCUUUGGCACCGUUCUAAGAUGGGUCCUCUCUUCGUAGGCUAAUGCAUUGGCCCUUUUUGACCCGUUUUGGGGCGAAAACAAAAACUGACUCCCGGGCAUAUUUUUUUCGGCCUUUAUGGGCAGAGAACUUUAAUACCGCUCAAAAUGAGGCCACCCAGUAGUUAGGUGUGAAUUUUCGAGACCUUUGGCACCGUUCUAAGAUGGGUCCUCUCUUCGUAGGCUAAUGCAUUGGCCCUUUUUGACCCGUUUUGGGGCGAAAACAAAAACUGACUCCCGGGCAUAUUUUUUUCGGCCUUUAUGGGCAGAGAACUUUAAUACCGCUCAAAAUGAGGCCACCCAGUAGUUAGGUGUGAAUUUUCGAGACCUUUGGCACCGUUCUAAGAUGGGUCCUCUCUUCGUAGGCUAAUGCAUUGGCCCUUUUUGACCCGUUUUGGGGCGAAAACAAAAACUGACUCCCGGGCAUAUUUUUUUCGGCCUUUAUGGGCAGAGAACUUUAAUACCGCUCAAAAUGAGGCCACCCAGUAGUUAGGUGUGAAUUUUCGAGACCUUUGGCACCGUUCUAAGAUGGGUCCUCUCUUCGUAGGCUAAUGCAUUGGCCCUUUUUGACCCGUUUUGGGGCGAAAACAAAAACUGACUCCCGGGCAUAUUUUUUUCGGCCUUUAUGGGCAGAGAACUUUAAUACCGCUCAAAAUGAGGCCACCCAGUAGUUAGGUGUGAAUUUUCGAGACCUUUGGCACCGUUCUAAGAUGGGUCCUCUCUUCGUAGGCUAAUGCAUUGGCCCUUUUUGACCCGUUUUGGGGCGAAAACAAAAACUGACUCCCGGGCAUAUUUUUUUCGGCCUUUAUGGGCAGAGAACUUUAAUACCGCUCAAAAUGAGGCCACCCAGUAGUUAGGUGUGAAUUUUCGAGACCUUUGGCACCGUUCUAAGAUGGGUCCUCUCUUCGUAGGCUAAUGCAUUGGCCCUUUUUGACCCGUUUUGGGGCGAAAACAAAAACUGACUCCCGGGCAUAUUUUUUUCGGCCUUUAUGGGCAGAGAACUUUAAUACCGCUCAAAAUGAGGCCACCCAGUAGUUAGGUGUGAAUUUUCGAGACCUUUGGCACCGUUCUAAGAUGGGUCCUCUCUUCGUAGGCUAAUGCAUUGGCCCUUUUUGACCCGUUUUGGGGCGAAAACAAAAACUGACUCCCGGGCAUAUUUUUUUCGGCCUUUAUGGGCAGAGAACUUUAAUACCGCUCAAAAUGAGGCCACCCAGUAGUUAGGUGUGAAUUUUCGAGACCUUUGGCACCGUUCUAAGAUGGGUCCUCUCUUCGUAGGCUAAUGCAUUGGCCCUUUUUGACCCGUUUUGGGGCGAAAACAAAAACUGACUCCCGGGCAUAUUUUUUUCGGCCUUUAUGGGCAGAGAACUUUAAUACCGCUCAAAAUGAGGCCACCCAGUAGUUAGGUGUGAAUUUUCGAGACCUUUGGCACCGUUCUAAGAUGGGUCCUCUCUUCGUAGGCUAAUGCAUUGGCCCUUUUUGACCCGUUUUGGGGCGAAAACAAAAACUGACUCCCGGGCAUAUUUUUUUCGGCCUUUAUGGGCAGAGAACUUUAAUACCGCUCAAAAUGAGGCCACCCAGUAGUUAGGUGUGAAUUUUCGAGACCUUUGGCACCGUUCUAAGAUGGGUCCUCUCUUCGUAGGCUAAUGCAUUGGCCCUUUUUGACCCGUUUUGGGGCGAAAACAAAAACUGACUCCCGGGCAUAUUUUUUUCGGCCUUUAUGGGCAGAGAACUUUAAUACCGCUCAAAAUGAGGCCACCCAGUAGUUAGGUGUGAAUUUUCGAGACCUUUGGCACCGUUCUAAGAUGGGUCCUCUCUUCGUAGGCUAAUGCAUUGGCCCUUUUUGACCCGUUUUGGGGCGAAAACAAAAACUGACUCCCGGGCAUAUUUUUUUCGGCCUUUAUGGGCAGAGAACUUUAAUACCGCUCAAAAUGAGGCCACCCAGUAGUUAGGUGUGAAUUUUCGAGACCUUUGGCACCGUUCUAAGAUGGGUCCUCUCUUCGUAGGCUAAUGCAUUGGCCCUUUUUGACCCGUUUUGGGGCGAAAACAAAAACUGACUCCCGGGCAUAUUUUUUUCGGCCUUUAUGGGCAGAGAACUUUAAUACCGCUCAAAAUGAGGCCACCCAGUAGUUAGGUGUGAAUUUUCGAGACCUUUGGCACCGUUCUAAGAUGGGUCCUCUCUUCGUAGGCUAAUGCAUUGGCCCUUUUUGACCCGUUUUGGGGCGAAAACAAAAACUGACUCCCGGGCAUAUUUUUUUCGGCCUUUAUGGGCAGAGAACUUUAAUACCGCUCAAAAUGAGGCCACCCAGUAGUUAGGUGUGAAUUUUCGAGACCUUUGGCACCGUUCUAAGAUGGGUCCUCUCUUCGUAGGCUAAUGCAUUGGCCCUUUUUGACCCGUUUUGGGGCGAAAACAAAAACUGACUCCCGGGCAUAUUUUUUUCGGCCUUUAUGGGCAGAGAACUUUAAUACCGCUCAAAAUGAGGCCACCCAGUAGUUAGGUGUGAAUUUUCGAGACCUUUGGCACCGUUCUAAGAUGGGUCCUCUCUUCGUAGGCUAAUGCAUUGGCCCUUUUUGACCCGUUUUGGGGCGAAAACAAAAACUGACUCCCGGGCAUAUUUUUUUCGGCCUUUAUGGGCAGAGAACUUUAAUACCGCUCAAAAUGAGGCCACCCAGUAGUUAGGUGUGAAUUUUCGAGACCUUUGGCACCGUUCUAAGAUGGGUCCUCUCUUCGUAGGCUAAUGCAUUGGCCCUUUUUGACCCGUUUUGGGGCGAAAACAAAAACUGACUCCCGGGCAUAUUUUUUUCGGCCUUUAUGGGCAGAGAACUUUAAUACCGCUCAAAAUGAGGCCACCCAGUAGUUAGGUGUGAAUUUUCGAGACCUCUUGGCACCGUUCUAAGAUGGGUCCUCUCUUCGUAGGCUAAUGCAUUGGCCCUUUUUGACCCGUUUUGGGGCGAAAACAAAAACUGACUCCCGGGCAUAUUUUUUUCGGCCUUUAUGGGCAGAGAACUUUAAUACCGCUCAAAAUGAGGCCACCCAGUAGUUAGGUGUGAAUUUUCGAGACCUCUGGCACCGUUCUAAGAUGGGUCCUCUCUUCGUAGGCUAAUGCAUUGGCCCUUUUUGACCCGUUUUGGGGCGAAAACAAAAACUGACUCCCGGGCAUAUUUUUUUCGGCCUUUAUGGGCAGAGAACUUUAAUGCCGCUCAAAAUGAGGCCACCCAGUAGUUAGGUGUGAAUUUUCGAGACCUCUGGCACCGUUCUAAGAUGGGUCCUCUCUUCGUAGGCUAAUGCAUUGGCCCUUUUUGACCCGUUUUGGGGCGAAAACAAAAACUGACUCCCGGGCAUAUUUUUUUCGGCCUUUAUGGGCAGAGAACUUUAAUACCGCUCAGAAUGAGGCCACCCAGUAGUUAGGUGUGAAUUUUCGAGACCUUCUGGCACCGUUCUAAGAUGGGUCCUCUCUUCGUAGGCUAAUGCAUUGGCCCUUUUUGACCCGUUUUGGGGCGAAAACAAAAACUGACUCCCGGGCAUAUUUUUUUCGGCCUUUAUGGGCAGAGAACUUUAAUACCGCUCAGAAUGAGGCCACCCAGUAGUUAGGUGUGAAUUUUCGAGACCUCUGGCACCGUUCUAAGAUGGGUCCUCUCUUCGUAGGCUAAUGCAUUGGCCCUUUUUGACCCGUUUUGGGGCGAAAACAAAAACUGACUCCCGGGCAUAUUUUUUUCGGCCUUUAUGGGCAGAGAACUUUAAUACCGCUCAGAAUGAGGCCACCCAGUAGUUAGGUGUGAAUUUUCGAGACCUUUGGCACCGUUCUAAGAUGGGUCCUCUCUUCGUAGGCUAAUGCAUUGGCCCUUUUUGACCCGUUUUGGGGCGAAAACAAAAACUGACUCCCGGGCAUAUUUUUUUCGGCCUUUAUGGGCAGAGAACUUUAAUGCCGCUCAGAAUGAGGCCACCCAGUAGUUAGGUGUGAAUUUUCGAGACCUUUGGCACCGUUCUAAGAUGGGUCCUCUCUUCGUAGGCUAAUGCAUUGGCCCUUUUUGACCCGUUUUGGGGCGAAAACAAAAACUGACUCCCGGGCAUAUUUUUUUCGGCCUUUAUGGGCAGAGAACUUUAAUGCCGCUCAGAAUGAGGCCACCCAGUAGUUAGGUGUGAAUUUUCGAGACCUCUGGCACCGUUCUAAGAUGGGUCCUCUCUUCGUAGGCUAAUGCAUUGGCCCUUUUUGACCCGUUUUGGGGCGAAAACAAAAACUGACUCCCGGGCAUAUUUUUUUCGGCCUUUAUGGGCAGAGAACUUUAAUACCGCUCAAAAUGAGGCCACCCAGUAGUUAGGUGUGAAUUUUCGAGACCUUUGGCACCGUUCUAAGAUGGGUCCUCUCUUCGUAGGCUAAUGCAUUGGCCCUUUUUGACCCGUUUUGGGGCGAAAACAAAAACUGACUCCCGGGCAUAUUUUUUUCGGCCUUUAUGGGCAGAGAACUUUAAUACCGCUCAAAAUGAGGCCACCCAGUAGUUAGGUGUGAAUUUUCGAGACCUCUGGCACCGUUCUAAGAUGGGUCCUCUCUUCGUAGGCUAAUGCAUUGGCCCUUUUUGACCCGUUUUGGGGCGAAAACAAAAACUGACUCCCGGGCAUAUUUUUUUCGGCCUUUAUGGGCAGAGAACUUUAAUACCGCUCAAAAUGAGGCCACCCAGUAGUUAGGUGUGAAUUUUCGAGACCUUUGGCACCGUUCUAAGAUGGGUCCUCUCUUCGUAGGCUAAUGCAUUGGCCCUUUUUGACCCGUUUUGGGGCGAAAACAAAAACUGACUCCCGGGCAUAUUUUUUUCGGCCUUUAUGGGCAGAGAACUUUAAUACCGCUCAGAAUGAGGCCACCCAGUAGUUAGGUGUGAAUUUUCGAGACCUUUGGCACCGUUCUAAGAUGGGUCCUCUCUUCGUAGGCUAAUGCAUUGGCCCUUUUUGACCCGUUUUGGGGCGAAAACAAAAACUGACUCCCGGGCAUAUUUUUUUCGGCCUUUAUGGGCAGAGAACUUUAAUACGCCGCUCAGAAUGAGGCCACCCAGUAGUUAGGUGUGAAUUUUCGAGACCUUUGGCACCGUUCUAAGAUGGGUCCUCUCUUCGUAGGCUAAUGCAUUGGCCCUUUUUGACCCGUUUUGGGGCGAAAACAAAAACUGACUCCCGGGCAUAUUUUUUUCGGCCUUUAUGGGCAGAGAACUUUAAUACCGCUCAGAAUGAGGCCACCCAGUAGUUAGGUGUGAAUUUUCGAGACCUUUGGCACCGUUCUAAGAUGGGUCCUCUCUUCGUAGGCUAAUGCAUUGGCCCUUUUUGACCCGUUUUGGGGCGAAAACAAAAACUGACUCCCGGGCAUAUUUUUUUCGGCCUUUAUGGGCAGAGAACUUUAAUACCGCUCAGAAUGAGGCCACCCAGUAGUUAGGUGUGAAUUUUCGAGACCUUUGGCACCGUUCUAAGAUGGGUCCUCUCUUCGUAGGCUAAUGCAUUGGCCCUUUUUGACCCGUUUUGGGGCGAAAACAAAAACUGACUCCCGGGCAUAUUUUUUUCGGCCUUUAUGGGCAGAGAACUUUAAUACCGCUCAAAAUGAGGCCACCCAGUAGUUAGGUGUGAAUUUUCGAGACCUUCUGGCACCGUUCUAAGAUGGGUCCUCUCUUCGUAGGCUAAUGCAUUGGCCCUUUUUGACCCGUUUUGGGGCGAAAACAAAAACUGACUCCCGGGCAUAUUUUUUUCGGCCUUUAUGGGCAGAGAACUUUAAUACCGCUCAAAAUGAGGCCACCCAGUAGUUAGGUGUGAAUUUUCGAGACCUCUGGCACCGUUCUAAGAUGGGUCCUCUCUUCGUAGGCUAAUGCAUUGGCCCUUUUUGACCCGUUUUGGGGCGAAAACAAAAACUGACUCCCGGGCAUAUUUUUUUCGGCCUUUAUGGGCAGAGAACUUUAAUACCCGCUCAGAAUGAGGCCACCCAGUAGUUAGGUGUGAAUUUUCGAGACCUUCUGGCACCGUUCUAAGAUGGGUCCUCUCUUCGUAGGCUAAUGCAUUGGCCCUUUUUGACCCGUUUUGGGGCGAAAACAAAAACUGACUCCCGGGCAUAUUUUUUUCGGCCUUUAUGGGCAGAGAACUUUAAUACCGCUCAAAAUGAGGCCACCCAGUAGUUAGGUGUGAAUUUUCGAGACCUCUGGCACCGUUCUAAGAUGGGUCCUCUCUUCGUAGGCUAAUGCAUUGGCCCUUUUUGACCCGUUUUGGGGCGAAAACAAAAACUGACUCCCGGGCAUAUUUUUUUCGGCCUUUAUGGGCAGAGAACUUUAAUACCGCUCAAAAUGAGGCCACCCAGUAGUUAGGUGUGAAUUUUCGAGACCUUUGGCACCGUUCUAAGAUGGGUCCUCUCUUCGUAGGCUAAUGCAUUGGCCCUUUUUGACCCGUUUUGGGGCGAAAACAAAAACUGACUCCCGGGCAUAUUUUUUUCGGCCUUUAUGGGCAGAGAACUUUAAUGCCGCUCAGAAUGAGGCCACCCAGUAGUUAGGUGUGAAUUUUCGAGACCUUUGGCACCGUUCUAAGAUGGGUCCUCUCUUCGUAGGCUAAUGCAUUGGCCCUUUUUGACCCGUUUUGGGGCGAAAACAAAAACUGACUCCCGGGCAUAUUUUUUUCGGCCUUUAUGGGCAGAGAACUUUAAUGCCGCUCAAAAUGAGGCCACCCAGUAGUUAGGUGUGAAUUUUCGAGACCUUUGGCACCGUUCUAAGAUGGGUCCUCUCUUCGUAGGCUAAUGCAUUGGCCCUUUUUGACCCGUUUUGGGGCGAAAACAAAAACUGACUCCCGGGCAUAUUUUUUUCGGCCUUUAUGGGCAGAGAACUUUAAUACCGCUCAAAAUGAGGCCACCCAGUAGUUAGGUGUGAAUUUUCGAGACCUUUGGCACCGUUCUAAGAUGGGUCCUCUCUUCGUAGGCUAAUGCAUUGGCCCUUUUUGACCCGUUUUGGGGCGAAAACAAAAACUGACUCCCGGGCAUAUUUUUUUCGGCCUUUAUGGGCAGAGAACUUUAAUGCCGCUCAAAAUGAGGCCACCCAGUAGUUAGGUGUGAAUUUUCGAGACCUUUGGCACCGUUCUAAGAUGGGUCCUCUCUUCGUAGGCUAAUGCAUUGGCCCUUUUUGACCCGUUUUGGGGCGAAAACAAAAACUGACUCCCGGGCAUAUUUUUUUCGGCCUUUAUGGGCAGAGAACUUUAAUACCCGCUCAGAAUGAGGCCACCCAGUAGUUAGGUGUGAAUUUUCGAGACCUUUGGCACCGUUCUAAGAUGGGUCCUCUCUUCGUAGGCUAAUGCAUUGGCCCUUUUUGACCCGUUUUGGGGCGAAAACAAAAACUGACUCCCGGGCAUAUUUUUUUCGGCCUUUAUGGGCAGAGAACUUUAAUACCGCUCAGAAAUGAGGCCACCCAGUAGUUAGGUGUGAAUUUUCGAGACCUUUGGCACCGUUCUAAGAUGGGUCCUCUCUUCGUAGGCUAAUGCAUUGGCCCUUUUUGACCCGUUUUGGGGCGAAAACAAAAACUGACUCCCGGGCAUAUUUUUUUCGGCCUUUAUGGGCAGAGAACUUUAAUACCGCUCAGAAAUGAGGCCACCCAGUAGUUAGGUGGGAAUUUUCGAGACCUUUGGCACCGUUCUAAGAUGGGUCCUCUCUUCGUAGGCUAAUGCAUUGGCCCUUUUUGACCCGUUUUGGGGCGAAAACAAAAACUGACUCCCGGGCAUAUUUUUUUCGGCCUUUAUGGGCAGAGAACUUUAACACCGCUCAAAAUGAGGCCACCCAGUAGUUAGGUGUGAAUUUUCGAGACCUUUGGCACCGUUCUAAGAUGGGUCCUCUCUUCGUAGGCUAAUGCAUUGGCCCUUUUUGACCCGUUUUGGGGCGAAAACAAAAACUGACUCCCGGGCAUAUUUUUUUCGGCCUUUAUGGGCAGAGAACUUUAAUACCGCUCAAAAUGAGGCCACCCAGUAGUUAGGUGUGAAUUUUCGAGACCUUUGGCACCGUUCUAAGAUGGGUCCUCUCUUCGUAGGCUAAUGCAUUGGCCCUUUUUGACCCGUUUUGGGGCGAAAACAAAAACUGACUCCCGGGCAUAUUUUUUUCGGCCUUUAUGGGCAGAGAACUUUAACACCGCUCAAAAUGAGGCCACCCAGUAGUUAGGUGGGAAUUUUCGAGACCUUUGGCACCGUUCUAAGAUGGGUCCUCUCUUCGUAGGCUAAUGCAUUGGCCCUUUUUGACCCGUUUUGGGGCGAAAACAAAAACUGACUCCCGGGCAUAUUUUUUUUCGGCCUUUAUGGGCAGAGAACUUUAACACCGCUCAAAAUGAGGCCACCCAGUAGUUAGGUGGGAAUUUUCGAGACCUUUGGCACCGUUCUAAGAUGGGUCCUCUCUUCGUAGGCUAAUGCAUUGGCCCUUUUUGACCCGUUUUGGGGCGAAAACAAAAACUGACUCCCGGGCAUAUUUUUC